GCUCACCCACUGCUACAAAGAGUUUCAUCUCCUUGUAAGAUCAGAAUCACAGACAAGUCAACCAACAUAAUUAUGAAAUGAUUAAAAAAAAAGGUUUACAUCAAUGUGGUGAUGUGGCGCUCUCCUGGGCUUGGGCCUAAGCCACGCCAGAUGAGGGACAGCCUCUCACGGUGAGCUAGGCCGCACCUCUCAUUCUGUCCGCGGGCCCCUCGCUGCUCCUCCCCCACCUGCGGGUGUUGUGGGGGAAGAUAGGGGUGCGGCCUCUGGCCUGACCUCUGGUCUCCCGCCCUGCUGCCUUCUGGUGUCAGUCAGGGGGGGGGCCUGGGUCCUUUGGGACGCAGCAGGCAUUCUCGCUUUGCCGCCUUGGCGUGUGCCUUGCGAGCGGUCCCUCCCCAAAGUGGGGGGGAGGCCUCCCUCGCUGCCAUGCUUCGCAUCCCUGCGGGUGCGUGAGCGUGCCUCCCCUGGUCCUCUGUGGUGCCCCUGGAGUACUCCGGGUUGCCUGUCAGAUGCCCGAGGCCGAGCGGUGGUGUCGUUUUCCUCUCCCAGCGGUGAGUCCCCUCGGGUCCCCACUGUGGUGGUGGCGUGCCCCACGAGCAGCUUCCUAAAGCUCAGGGGAGGGGGUCGAGACGGUAAGGCAGGGGAAGCUUGUGUCCCCUCCCCGGGAGGGGCUCAGGUGGACCCCUUGUCAUGGGUCUCCCUCACUGUGUGCCAGUGAGGGCAGCCCUUGGCCCUUGAGUGGCACGCCCCAUGCUUCUCCCUUGACCGGGAAGGCUGCAUGUGGUCGUGAGAGCGACCGCGGUGGGCCGGGAGAUGUGAAGGGGGGGUCCCCGUCUGGCUUUCCGGACGUGGCAUCCCUCCACCCACGUGGAAAAGUCUGAAAGGCAAGCCUGGUGGCAGCACAGACUCUUGCCCUCCCGGCUCUGACCGUGGACGCUCACAUGGGCUGUGUGCUUUACCCAUACCGCAGACCCCCCCCCCUUCUGACUUCCCACUUUUUGGGAGUGUUCCCACUCCCGUGGGUCCCCGAAGGGGCGAGCGUGGUGCCCCUCCCCUUGGAAGGGGAAGUGGAGGAGGGGGAUGCACCCCGUCCCCCGGCGGCCUCUGCCCCCGCCUCCCCCGCUGCGAGCCGCCCGUCGGUUCUUCCCGCACUCGCCUGGGGUCGCAGCUGGUGGUGUGGAGGUGGUGAGCGAGCAUGGUUCGGGCCGCCUCGCUCAGGAGCGUUUCCCCCAGGCGUCAGGCCCUGGAGGGUGGACUAGGUGAAGGACGGAUGAGAUGAGGGUGGAAAGAUGGACGGAUGGGUGAGAUGAGGCGGACGA
This 1316-nucleotide long non-coding RNA is filed under the name Sus scrofa (pig). RNAcentral describes it as "lncRNA (ENSSSCG00015007690.1)". The record is from RNAcentral. Lineage: Eukaryota; Metazoa; Chordata; Mammalia; Artiodactyla; Suidae.